Long non-coding RNA from Zea mays, 2678 nucleotides. RefSeq lists it as uncharacterized. The transcript has 6 exons. The record is from RefSeq and is a predicted model, not a curated record. Lineage: Eukaryota; Viridiplantae; Streptophyta; Magnoliopsida; Poales; Poaceae.
CCGUCGAACUUAACCCAAACUAAAUCCCUAGCGACCCGCGCGUCUCUCUUCUAUCCCGCCUACGCGCGAGCCACCGGUCCCCGCUCCUCCCCGCGCGGCGCCGCCAGCCUGCUCCUCCACCGCGCCCACCGCUAGCUCGCUCCUCCACCGCGCCCGCUGCCAGCCCGCUCCUCCACCGCGCCCCCGCUCCUCUGCCAUCAUCGCUGGUUGAGAUGGGUGGGUAGGGUUUGGGCUUGGGCGUGGCCGCUUGGGAUCUGAAUAGGGUGAGGUCGUGAACAAUGGAUCUGUCGAGUCGAUGGGCGGAACCGCUGAAGGAAGCAGAAGGCGAGGUGGAUCAGUGGAUGGCGUAUUGGUGUCGCGUCUCGCGUAAGCAAGUGGGGAAGACUUCAUCGCCGUGCGCGCCCGCCAUACCGCGCACCGCCACCUCCAUCGCGCGCCGGCCAGCCCCCGCUCCUCCACCUCCACUACACGCGCCGGCCAGCCCCCACUCCUCCACCUCCACUGCACGCGCCGGCCAGCCCCCACUUCUCCACCUCCACCGCGCGCCGGAAGCCCCCGCUCCUCCACCUCCACUGUGCGCGCCGGCCAGCCCGCUCCUCCACCGCAUCAGGAAGGCGAGCCAGAGAUCGAGCGGCCCGAGAAAAGGAGGAAACACAAGCUUAAUCAGAAGCCGAAGCCCAGGGAGCUCAAUCCAAUGGAGUGGAUCGCUGAAGCCCGGCACCAGUCGGCGCGGCCGCGGGCGCUGCCGCAUUGGCAGGCAGUGCUGAUGGGAAUCGGGAUGGACUGCAUCCGCUAGGCCUCUCCAUCGACCAGUGGGUUCCCCUGCUCAAGUUGUAUUGAUUUGCGUGCGCGCGGUUUCUGCCAAUCUGGCGACCUGCUUCAGAAUCUGAUCUUCAAGACACAUUCAGUGAAGAUUUGUUCUCAGGUUGAUCUGUGCAAUUUUGAAGGCACUCAUGGUGUCAAGUGAGGACUGGCAAUUUCCACCAGCGCGAGACGUUGAUGGUGUCCAUCUUACUGUAUUUAGUUGGGUUUUAGUACCUCGUACCUCCAAAAGGUUUCAGUUAAAGGACAUGUCCUGGAGAUCAAAGGUGACUGAGCUAACUGCAAUCUCUUAUUUCCUUGCAUUUUAGGAUUUUGGUUGCCUGGAUUCUGCAGCUCUUCAUUUUGCAAUAUUUGAAAAAUAGUCGAGUAGCCUCUAGGGCUUACCAUGCCUAAAAUGGUGAGGUAAGUCUAUUGCGCUUCUACUGACAUGACCAUUUAAUCACUGGGACUUCACACUCAAUACUUUUCUUGAAUAUAUAGAGAUGAUAGGAACAUUGCUGCCCAUCAGUAAUAAUCUUGUGCCUUGUUUCUAUGGGUUGAGCAUCCACUGAGAUUUUACAAAUAAAGUUGAUAGGCCACAUUUUGCACAUUCACAUCUGCUAGUAAGAUUGUUUUCUUUCCAAACAGUAAAUACUUUAAAUCAGGUAAUGGUAUUUAUUCUGGUGCAGGGUAAUGUACAAUUGUGUUCCCUUAAACACACUUUAUGCUUUUCCCCUCACCUUCUAUAGAAUUUACCCAUGAUUCCAUGGUGUACGAUUAUGUGCAGUGCAGUUGUUGUUAGUUCUUUAGAAAACCUCUUGUUGUUAGGGCCAAGCGUAAUUAGUUCAAAUAUCGCCACAAUGGUUUUCAAGUUGUCGGUGCAGGAUAUGACUCAUGUGCUCUUGUAAUGGUCUGUACUUUAAGAACAGGGUCGAGAAAUAGUGAAUGUUUCAGAACUUUUUUUUCAUUUUCUACCAUAGGAAACUUAAUGUGUUUUGUGACAGGAUACUACUGUCAAUGGGAAAGAGAACCAUGAUCAAGAGAUAAGUUGCAUCGUAGACACAAUGUUACUCUGUUCAAUAUUGAUGUCUUUUCUGUUUGCAUAGUGUUAACCUUAGUCGAAAUUUCUAGCUCAUGACAAAUAUUUAUUGUACCUUUAAAUGGUUAUUUAAGCAAGAAUAUAUGAGCUUACUGUCAUAGAAUGACCUACAUUCCAUCCACCUUGGUCAUCCAGAUUCAGCUCUGAUGAUGCUAAGGAUGUAGUCCAUUACCAAACAAUCUCACCAAAGAGCUUAGCUAAAUCUGUUCUCGAGGAAGGUGGCUGGUCAAACUUCAUGUUCUCAAGGGAGGAUACUCAGAAUAAUAUUGAUGUUGCCAUUGUUUUUAUUGGCUCAAAGCUGCAAUCGUCAGACAUAUCUAAAGAUAAGCAAGUUGAUCCAGCUUUAGCAGACACACUGAAGGUAAUCAUAGGCACUCAUCUCUCAGAUACUGUUCUAUAUGCAUGGUACUUGAGUUAUUCUGCGCUACUACUGACACUACUAAAUUGGAGCCUUGGAGUCUGGAGCAAAAAAAAGUGGUGGCUGUAUUCUCAAGGAACAUGAGACCACUGAGCUCUGGAGUGAAUGAAGGACGUCGUCUUUGGAAGUCAGACAUCACCUAGAGCUAGGGUGUCCAUUCUUGACAUGUUUCUCUUAGUGAUAGGUGGAUACUGUCUAGCUAGGAAUAAAGUCUUGAGGGAUUGAUGGACGCAUGCAUCUCCAAUUCCUGUGUGUUGUAUUACUACUGGUACAAUCUCCAAUUCCUGUGAACUUAUGUAUUUGGACUGUGAAUUUGUGAUAUGAACAUAUAUCAAUGUGUUUGAAAUCUGUAUUGUAUGU